This 537-nucleotide ribosomal RNA is filed under the name uncultured bacterium. RNAcentral's name for it is "bacterial LSU rRNA". It matches the Rfam family "Bacterial large subunit ribosomal RNA", at positions 1953 to 2488 of the family's 2925-position model. The record is from RNAcentral.
AAGGUAGCGAAAUUCCUUGUCGGGUAAGUUCCGACCUGCACGAAUGGCGUAACGAUGGCCACACUGUCUCCUCCUGAGACUCAGCGAAGUUGAAAUGUUUGUGAAGAUGCAAUCUCCCCGCGGCUAGACGGAAAGACCCCAUGAACCUUUACUGUAGCUUUGCAUUGGACUUUGACGGGACUUGUGUAGGAUAGGUGGGAGGCUUUGAAACCGGGACGCCAGUUCCGGUGGAGCCAACCUUGAAAUACCACCCUGGUGUCGUCGAGGUUCUAACCCAGGCCUGUGAAUCCAGGUCGGGGACCGUGCAUGGUGGGCAGUUUGACUGGGGCGGUCUCCUCCCAAAAGGUAACGGAGGAGUACGAAGGUCACCUAGGUACGGUCGGACAUCGUACUGAUAGUGCAAUGGCAAAAGGUGGCUUGACUGCGAGACCCACAAGUCGAGCAGGUGCGAAAGCAGGUCAUAGUGAUCCGGUGGUUCUGUAUGGAAGGGCCAUCGCUCAACGGAUAAAAGGUACUCUGGGGAUAACAGGCUGAUCG